CCACGUCACACACUCUAUUUGGGCUCUGAAUUAUUUUGUCUCUUUUUAAUUUUCGUUUUUCUUUCUUCUGGGUUUUCGUCGAUCAAACGAAGUUUUGUCUCUCCAUCUCCACUGCAAUCGAUCUGUAAAGUAAUCAAUUGUCCGUUUCGGAUUGAUUGAUGGCUUCCUCUCCAUUUAUUUAUAAAUCUCCUUUUUCAUGUUUUUUCUUCAAUCAAAACUCUCUCAAUUUGUUAUCGUGAUGAAGUCGAACGGGAAAGCCAGUCUCCGACGAUCCGAUUGUGAAGAAACCAAACGGCAAGGAUGCUGUCUCCUCCGCCGUUCUGGAUCAACCAACCGUAAAAACGCCGUCUCCUCCGCCAAGGUCCAUAAGGUGAUGCCCGCCGUCUCCUCCGUCAAGGUUGAUAAAAUCUGAGAAGAGCAUGCUGAGAAUUAAUAGUAACUGGUGUUUUUUUUUUUGUUAGUUUCACAACAGAGAAACGUAAGAAUCUUUGUAUUUUCACAAACUGAGAAUUCAAACUGUUAUCUAUGUAUACAUUAUGACAUAUCUAUACAAUAACAAAUCUCUAUAUAUUCA
Long non-coding RNA from Raphanus sativus (radish), 574 nucleotides. RefSeq lists it as uncharacterized. The record is from RefSeq and is a predicted model, not a curated record. The transcript is spliced from 2 exons. Lineage: Eukaryota; Viridiplantae; Streptophyta; Magnoliopsida; Brassicales; Brassicaceae.